UACAGAGGCCCCGAGCGUUGUCCGAAGUUAUUGGGCGUAAAGCGUCCGCAGGCGGAUGUGCGCGUUUGCUGUUAAAUCACGAGGCUCAACCUCGGUGGCGUUGCAGUGAAUACGGCACAUCUUGAGGCAGGGAGAGGUGAACGGAACUUCCGGUGGAGCAGUGAAAUGCGUUGAUAUCGGAGGGAACACCAAUUGCGAAGGCAGUUCACUGGUCCUGUCCUGACGCUCAUGGACGACAGCGUGGGGAGCGAAGCGG
Molecule: unclassified non-coding RNA, 256 nt
Filed under: uncultured Parcubacteria group bacterium
Lineage: Bacteria
Description: contains 16S-23S intergenic spacer region
Rfam family: Bacterial small subunit ribosomal RNA
Source: RNAcentral